Molecule: small RNA, 71 nt
Filed under: Bordetella hinzii
Lineage: Bacteria; Pseudomonadati; Pseudomonadota; Betaproteobacteria; Burkholderiales; Alcaligenaceae
Description: int-alpA RNA
Rfam family: int-alpA RNA
About the family: Acidobacteria (1 example), Planctomycetes (1 example), Proteobacteria. Environment (Lake Washington)
Source: Rfam by way of RNAcentral
CCAGCACCUACCGCGACGGCGGGAAAAGCCGCAAGCCCAGCGGUCUGGUGCUGGCCACUACACUUUUUGGG